This is a transfer RNA of Coccomyxa subellipsoidea C-169, 73 nucleotides long. It matches the Rfam family "tRNA". From Rfam's summary of the family: Transfer RNA (tRNA) molecules are approximately 80 nucleotides in length. Their secondary structure includes four short double-helical elements and three loops (D, anti-codon, and T loops). The record is from Rfam. Lineage: Eukaryota; Viridiplantae; Chlorophyta; Trebouxiophyceae; Coccomyxaceae.
GGUUGCGUGGUGUAGUGGUUAUCACGUCUGCCUUACACGCAGCAGGUCAUGGGUUCGAUCCCCAUCGCGACCA